RNAcentral lists this ribosomal RNA (483 nucleotides) under uncultured bacterium. Its description in RNAcentral is "partial 16S ribosomal RNA". It matches the Rfam family "Bacterial small subunit ribosomal RNA", at positions 28 to 507 of the family's 1533-position model. The record is from RNAcentral.
GAUGAACGCUGGCGGCGUGCCUAACACAUGCAAGUCGAACGGAGUCGUUUUGGAAAUCUCUUCGGAGAUGGAAUUCUCGACUUAGUGGCGGACGGGUGAGUAACGCGUGAGCAAUCUGCCUUUAUGAGGGGGAUAACACUCGUAAACGGCUGCUAAUACCGCAUAAAGCAUUAAAUUCGCAUGUUUUUGAUGCCAAAGGAGCAAUCCGCUUUUAGAUGAGCUCGCGUCUGAUUAGCUAGUGGGCGGGGUAACGGCCCACCAAGGCGACGAUCAGUAGCCGGACUGAGGGGUGGAACGGCCACAUCGGGACUGAGACACGGCCCAGACUCCUACGGGGGGAAGCAGUGGGGAAUAUUGCGCAAUGGGGGAAACCCUGACGCAGCAACGCCGCGUGGUUGAAGAAGGCCUUCGGGGUGUAAAGAUCUUUAAUCAGAGACGAAGCAAAUGACGGUACCUGAAGAAUAAGCUCCGGCUAACUACGUG